UUUUUUUUUUUUUUUUUUUUAUCACUGGAAUAAAGACUAAGCCUUUAUGUUAGGAAAUAAUGUCAUGGAAUUAAGUCUGUGAAAGCCUCUUUUCGGGCACAGUCUUAGUGAUGUAGGGGAAAGCCUGAGAAGAGUCCAAGUGAUAGUGUCUAGACAAUUCUGACACUCAUUUCCUUCAAAAAGAUCUGCAAAAUUUCACCAAGUAAUCUUGUUUUUUACCAGCCAAAGUUUAUCAGCUCUGGAUCCCCAUUUUUAUUUUGGAACUAACACCUGCACACAAUCUUGUUUUACCAGUGGUUAGCAAAUUGGUUCUAUCCCUGUAGGUAAUCUUUCUUUCUUUCAUCAUUUUAAUGUAUUUAAAAAGUAUUGUGAGCAUGGAGUGGAACGUGGCAUAUGGCUGGAGUAUUGGGAUGGGAACAGCAUCCAUUUUUCCUUGUUUUAAUGGCUUUAAUCACUAGACACCAAUACUCAUGGAGUUAAAGAGUAAGGAGACAUUUCGUCCCCUGUGUGAUAGAAGGACUGCAGGAUAAGCACAGGCAUUAAAAUCAGUAAUAAUCAGGUACUUACUGGGGCUCACUGAUAUUGUGGUUCCCUUCCCAAAAGUCAACGCAUUUCCUGCCCCGUAGGCACAGUGAAAUGGGGCCCUGCAAAUACCUCGGGUACCUACUCACCCUACUUUAUUCAUCACUGUAAAAAAUAGAAUUUUGUAUUUUGUCCUUACCCUCUGCAAGGAGCUCAUUGGGCCUUCAGUGUUUGGAUAUGCAAUAACAAAGCUCCCUAACUUUGUGAGAAGGAGGCUAGAUGGUGGUAGGUCCUCUAUUCACUCAGUAACUAGUCACUGAACACCUCUGUAUGUAAGGCACUGUACUAGGCACAGGGGACACAGUGGAGGGCAACUUGGACAUCAUUCCUGUCCACUACCUGUAGGUGCUCACAGUCCAGGGAGUGACACACAUAAAUCCAUAGAUAAAAUAAUGUCAAGUGAUGGAAGUGCAUUAAUAAAAAGAGGCUGGACAAUGGGAUAGAGAACAACCAGGCAGCAGUUGUGGCUUGUUAGACUGGCUGCGCAGGAAAAGUCUCUCUGAGGAGGUGACAUCUGAAGUGAGAUCUAGGCAUGGAGGAAUUUUAAUCAUCACCUCCACUGACAGAUAAGCUUACUGAUGGCUUGAAAGGUUAAAGCCUGGAUCCAAAUCACACAGCAUCAACCAUGGACAUGGAUGCUUAGAUCAUGCCUGCUCUCAGCUGAAAUACUAGAUCUAGUUCUACCACAUAAAUUCCUAGUUAGAAAAGAUAAAGCAAGACACAGAUUCUUCCAAAGUGGCUCUUGGAUAUUAUCUGGAUAACUGGAAGCCAGCACUGAUCUUCAAGGGCAUCAGGGCUGUGAGAGGGUGCCAACAGGAAGAGAAGGCAUUGGCAUUUCAGAGUAGAUUUUUUCUGAUGGAGGUGGCCACUGACAUGAAGAGAUUCCCUUCAUUUCAAUUAAAGAGAGAGAGAAAGAAGCUCUCUCCAUUCUGCUUUCCUAUUAAGUUGGCAAAGAAUGCAAACUGUUACCUAGUAGAGUGGGCUCUUUCAGUUAGAAUGGGAAAGGCUCAGAGAGUGCUCUGCUCCCCAGUAAAUCUGAAUAAAUUGAGGACAUGUGGAAGUCCACUGAGAUUUCCAAAAAAGUUUUACAUGUCUCAUUAACUAAUCAAAUUCAGAAUACAUAGUGAUACUUACUAAGAUCCACUUUUACCAUGGUCCCCCUUCCGAACACCAGAUUAUUGGUGCUUGAUACACCACAGUGAUCUAUGUCACCACAAAAACCAAAGGGUGCUUCAUUCUCAAGUACAGUGAUCUUCUUUAGGGUUCUCUCACUUGGUUGAAACCCAACUCAACACAAGCACAUAUUUAGGUAAACUCAAGAAAGGUCUUAAACUCUUUGGAAUCUAGGAAACUUCAGAAACCAUUUUCUACUACUCCAAACUCACACAUUUGUCUCUUCAGUGAUCUUAGGUUUUUGAUAUUUCCAGGGAUAAUUCUGCUAAUUCCUAUGUUCUAUUUUCUCAUAAUAGGAAGAGUUCACCUAAUAGGCCAAUUCAACCCUUUCUUUGCCAUAACUGACGUCUGUUAAACUUGCUUACCCCUCAGGCUUACCCUUCAAUGGAAUUUUUCAUAAAAUCUAACUUCUUAAAAAUUAUGAAGCAUUCAACCUCCCAUACUUUUCAAAGGGAUUUCACAUAUAUCAUCUUGUUUGGAUCUCACAAAAUCCUUUGAACUAGGCAGAACUGGAAUCAUUAUCUCAUGUUAUAGAUGAACUAAGCCUUAGAGAGUUUGAGUGAUCUUCCCAUGGCCACGAACUUGGCGAGUGGCUGAGCUGGAUUCACAUUGUCUUUUGGCUCCUAUUUGAAUGCCUUAAUGAUUUAUUUCAUCCACAUUUAUGUAUUGAUCACAUCACCUUGCUUUUCAAAUAUCCCUUCUUUUCUUAUUCCCUUCCCCAUUGAAAAAGGGGAACAUAAGCAACAAAAACAAUACUUCUCUCCCUAUGACCCCUUGUCCCUGCAAAAAAGCCAAGCGAAGCUCCAGUUCAAUUCUUUCUCAGAGCAAUGUUUUUUUAAUCCUCAUAUGCUUUCUGUGAGCUGGGAGAUAAGAGUUACCAAUGUUUCAGUUGCAUUAAUUGGGAAAAAUGAGGGUCUGAGGAGAUAAAUCAGAAUGCUGGUUAUAGAAGUUGCAGCCUGAUAUAGACAGCAAUAUAUUGAAUCUUAGAAAACAUGGGUCCUUGCCUGCUAUUGUGUCCAUGUUCAAAUCACUUACCACUCUGAAUAGAGAGAAUCACACCUUCCCACUGUCCUUUGCCUCUUGAGACAAUCAGAUAAGAGAUGUGAAGAAAUAAGAAAAGUAACUUAAUUGUUUUCCUUCUCUUAAGAAGAUGGGCUCUGGAAAAUAUCAAGGUAGCAAUAUCUUUUAUCCAUACUGAUUUUGUAUAUACAUAUGUGCUUACGCAUAAGAGCAAGACUAAAUAUUUUUAAGGCAGGUUUGAGACAUGUUAAUUUGGGUCAACACAGAACAUUAAUGGGUAGGCUCUUGCUUCAAUGUUAGAGCAGAAUUGUGGCUCAAGCCUCAGUAUUCAUUGGGUUGACUAACACCUGGUUUCUCUAAAAAUUAGCUUGUUUCCUGCAGCAUUGGUCGCCUGGUGAUUUGAGGCCUAUCAAAACCCACAGGGACCAAAGAAAUCACACUGUGCAGAUACUUGACAAAGGACAUUUCUGAAAGCAUUGACAAAGUGGAGGAGUUGUAAUGUUUAGGGUAAUCCUGCCUGUAAGUGCUGUACCUGCUUUAUAGAGCUAGAAUGCCCAUAAGUAGGCACAUAUUUGGGUCUAGACUGCUCAUAUAUUUACUUCUCUGCUUUGACUUUUUGGACCUGGAUUUAUGAGUGAAGAUAAUAGUUCUCAACCAUAGCCUUGCCAUUUUUUAACCCACAAAAAACCCUGAGAACAGGAAGCCCUAUAAGCCACGGAAACCUUUUGGAACAGGCUAUUUGUAUUUUCAGAGUGGAAAUGCUGAUGAACACAAUCACACACGGGCAUGCACAUUAGGGUCUCUAUAUUCAAUUUAGUGCCCAAAGAAGAUGCCAAAGAGAGGAAGGAUACGUCAGUUGGUCCACCUGGGCUCUACAAGCUGCUCUGCACUGUGGAUCAGCUCUACUUUCCUUGGUCCAACAUUCAAGCCCAGACUCUCUAGCUAUAUUAGAACUUCCACUGGUGAGGCUAGUAUUAAGGAAGAGUGUGAAGAGGUUUCUUGGGGAAAGUUUACGGAGUACGAUGGAGAAGCCAUUCUUGAUAAGAAAGGAGUAUAAUAGUUGAUGGAGCUUCUAACAGGGAGAUAACCAAGAAUCAGAGCACUCAACGAAAAUAAGCCUUGUAAACCUAUCUUCCAAUUUGACCAAAUCCUUCCUCAAGCAUUGGGUAUGAGCCAGAAUGUGUGUUUUGAGAAGCCUCACACAUGCUAGUGGGAUUGCCCUUCUUUUUUGACCUUUGCAGGGAUGAACAGUCUGCUUUCAGAUUCUCAAGUUCCUAAAAGGGCCCCUAGGUCAUCUUGACCUUCCUUCCACCUCCCCAUCCCAGUCUACCUAGGAAGGAGGGUCCUCCAGGAAGGGCAGUACACAUGUUCCCUUAGUUUUAAGACUAAGGGAAUUCACUCAUCUCUCUUUUCAGUUUCUUCACAGUAAUGUUUCCCUGGAGUAGAAAAUAACCCACUCACCAGGCCAUACAGUUAGCUGAGUUCCUUUUCCGAAGUGCAGUUUCCCUAAGGCUGAGGCUCUGUCGACACAGUGCUGGCCCCCUUUACAUGAACCUGGUCCUAUUGUUCCCCAAACACUCUCUCCCCUGCCCUGGGGAUAUGAUUGAAAAUCCACCUCUAUCCUCCUCAAGCGGCUUAAAGUCUUUUUCUUCUGCAGCCAGCAGUCUUAGCGGGAUGGUCAGUCCUCAGAGUCCUCAGAGGCUCUCUCUCAGGGGACAAAUGGUCUGUGGUAACAAUAGCCUUCCCACCUGCAGAGGCCCCUCCCAUCAGAAAGCAAUUACAUAUCCUUUUGAGAGUGUUUAAAUUGGAAGGAGCUUUGCUUCCCUGGCCCUAUUUCCCAGUAUAAAAGACUGCUCACUUACUUGGAUUGACAUUGUGUUUGGAACCCUUUCCAAAGCUGAACUCGUGAAAACUUUGAUAGACUAGAUCUGCCCUCUGCAAAAUCAUCUCAUUUCCCUCAUUCAACCUCUGGUCCUCCCUCCAUGCAUUUCUUUUUUCUCCUCUUUCUUUUUUCCUUCCUGAUAUCGCUCCUUUAUUUUCUCAUUUACUGCACUGGGAAAUCAUACCCCACCGUCUUCUUGGCUUAAAAAAAUCCCAAAUAGCCUUUAGCUCAUGAAUAAUCUGAUGACCUAUUUCUUUGGCUAUCAAAAUAAUAAAACUAGAAGGAACAGGUCUGGGCUCACCUUUUCAUCCUCUAGGCUUGAAUCCUGGGGUCUUAGCACUUAAGAAUUGAAAGGAAGCACAGAGGUGAUUUAGUCCAAUAGCUAAAAGGGUAUAGAAAUCCCUUCUCCAACAUCCAAUGCUUAGCCUGAAGGACCUAGCGUGAAGACCUCCAAGGAAGAGUAACUCUACACUUCACAAAGCAGCCUUUCGACUGCAGGGCAAUUCUACUUGUUCAUAAAGAUUCCAUAAGAGGUUGAGACAUCUUCUUUCAACCACUGGUUUUGAUUUUGCCUUCUGUACUAACUCCUUCCUUGGCUACAUUGCAGUUCUUCAAAUAUUUGAAGAGUUCUAUCUCAUCUUAAUAUAGUCCAGUGAAAUCCUC
This 5320-nucleotide long non-coding RNA is filed under the name Canis lupus familiaris (dog). RNAcentral describes it as "lncRNA (ENSCAFG00000056122.1)". Lineage: Eukaryota; Metazoa; Chordata; Mammalia; Carnivora; Canidae. The record is from RNAcentral.